AUUGAACGCUGGCGGCAUGCCUUACACAUGCAAGUCGAACGGCAGCACGGGUGCUUGCACCUGGUGGCGAGUGGCGAACGGGUGAGUAAUACAUCGGAACGUACCUUAUCGUGGGGGAUAACGCAGCGAAAGCUGUGCUAAUACCGCAUACGCCCUGAGGGGGAAAGCGGGGGAUCGCAAGACCUCGCGCGAUUAGAGCGGCCGAUGCCUGAUUAGCUAGUUGGUGGGGUAAAAGCCCACCAAGGCGACGAUCAGUAGCUGGUCUGAGAGGACGAUCAGCCACACUGGGACUGAGACACGGCCCAGACUCCUACGGGAGGCAGCAGUGGGGAAUUUUGGACAAUGGGGGCAACCCUGAUCCAGCAAUGCCGCGUGAGUGAAGAAGGCCUUCGGGUUGUAAAGCUCUUUUGUCAGGGAAGAAACACCGGCUCUAACACAGUCCGGGAAUGACGGUACCUGAAGAAUAAGCACCUACAAACUACGUGCCAGCCGCCGCCGUAA
RNAcentral lists this ribosomal RNA (501 nucleotides) under uncultured bacterium. RNAcentral describes it as "partial 16S ribosomal RNA". It matches the Rfam family "Bacterial small subunit ribosomal RNA", at positions 29 to 523 of the family's 1533-position model. The record is from RNAcentral.